UACGGGGGGAGCAAGCGUUGUUCGGAUUUACUGGGCGUAAAGGGCGCGUAGGCGGCGCAACAAGUCACUUGUGAAAUCUCCGGGCUUAACCCGGAGCGGCCAAGUGAUACUGUCGUGCUAGAGUGCGGAAGGGGCUACUGGAAUUCUCGGUGUAGCGGUGAAAUGCGUAGAUAUCGAGAGGAACACCUGCGGCGAAGGCGGGUAGCUGGGCCGACACGUGACGCUGAGGCGCGAAAGCCAGGGGAGGCGAACGGG
Molecule: ribosomal RNA, 255 nt
Filed under: uncultured bacterium
Lineage: Bacteria
Description: partial 16S ribosomal RNA
Rfam family: Bacterial small subunit ribosomal RNA
Source: RNAcentral